Long non-coding RNA from Hypanus sabinus (Atlantic stingray), 1141 nucleotides. RefSeq lists it as uncharacterized. The transcript has 3 exons. The record is from RefSeq and is a predicted model, not a curated record. NCBI's taxonomy places the organism in Eukaryota, Metazoa, Chordata, Chondrichthyes, Myliobatiformes, Dasyatidae.
CUCCAGUCGUAUUCAAGUCAGACCAGGCUUUUUCCAGGAAUUUCACUGGAUGCUCCAUUCAAAUCUCAAUCGAAAAGAAGUGCCUUUCAAUGUCCUUCAGAUGAGAAUUUAUCAUUAUUCCUUUUGGAAAAGUAAUCCAGCAAUAUACUGUAGUAAAAAGACAACUGCUUAGCUAACACCAGCUUCCCAACUGCUAAGUUAAAAAUAAAAUCCCUCCAUUUUGUGUUUCAUGGAACUGUUGGUCAGUAGCUGAAGAGGUGAAAGGGAGCAACGGAGGAUGUACCAGCAACUGGAAGAGAUCUCAGGAAGGAAAUGAGAAAGCUGCUGAAAUAACUUUGGGGGGGGGGGGAUUGGGAACAAUAAAAGAGUCGGGGAGAGUGGCAGUAACAGAAAAAUGGCUGAACAGCCAAGGACAUGAUGAAUGCAGAGUGGAGUCAGGAAGAUCAUUAACAGAUGAUGCAAGAAGAUAGGAGACUAAGGAGUCUAUUCUUUGCUGAUAGAAAUACCCUCUGCUAUCAACAAAUAGGAGAAGUUUUACAACUAAUAGCAGAAGAAAAGCUGCAAGCGCAACAGCCUGGUCCCCCGAUGAAAUACAGAACACAAACCAUAAUAAAUUUAACUCCCCUCAUCCUGCAAAGAAACAAUAUGCAAGCAGAAUAGAUCCGAUUCCACUGAGACCUGUUUUUUAGUCUAAUUGUAAAUGGUAAUCUGUCUUUUUAAUCUGACCACUGUAAAUAUUAAGAACUCUUAUUUAUUUACUCGUUGUCAGCUGACACUGUACACAAGUGCCAAGUCAACAGAGAUCAGGAAAAUGUUGAAAGCUUUACACCAGAGCAGCAAUUAACGGUAAUAGGACCUGUACACUCUACUACAAUGCGUUUUCAUUUCAUUGCUGUCAUGUGUAAUACAUCACAAAUUAAGCAUCAAUACACCUUUAAAUUACCAGUGGUUGGAUUCAGUUCCCAAAACAUUGACUCAGAACAGUUUUAUAUCUAUUAAAUAACUUUGAUAUCAAAAUGGAUGUAUAUGCAAAAGGUGAGAUCUAAAAUACAUUGUGGCUACCUUCUAUUGUUGAAGCUGUUAAAACUGAGGCACUGUAAGCAACUAUUGGUGCCACUCUAGCCGAAUGCUUCUUCAUCUU